GCGUAACAGCUCACUAGUCUAGUUUUUUGGCGCCACAAGUAUAACGGGGCUAAGCUUAAUACCGAAUUUUUGGAUGGUGACAUAGAAUGUCAAGCAUGGUAGACAAAUGUUGUAUAGGGGUUGAAGCUUGAGCGUGAGCAUGAGUGGACUAUAUACAAGUAAGAAUUCCGGCGUGAGUAACGAAUGAAAGUGAGAAUCUUUCUAGCCGAUUGAUCAAGGUUUCUGGGGCUAGGCUCGUCCUCCUCAGGUAAGUCGAUCCUAAGUUGAGGCCGAAAGGCGUAGAUGAUGGGCAACGGGUUAAUAUUCCCGUACUACCUUGAACGUUCGAUGGGUUGACAGAAAAGGUUAAACUGGGAGGGUUAUUGGAUUCCCUUUUAAGAUUUUGAGUACGUUGAGUAUGAAAAUCAACUCAACAUAAGUGCAAGGAUUGAAUACGAUCUCGGCCAGCAAUGGUUGGGAAAGCCAGACUUAAUCAUAUUCUCCAGAAAAGACUCUAAGAGACAAAGACGUUCAAGGUACUCGUACCGAUAACGAACACACGUGAUCAAGGAGAAUAUCCUAAGGCUAGCGAGCGAACUACAGUUAAGGAACUCUGCAAAAUGACUCUGUAACUUCGGGAGAAAGAGUGCCCGCAUAGAAUGCGGGUCACAGUAAAGAAUGAGGGCGGACUGUUUAACAAAAACACAGCUAUAUGCAAAAUUCAAACAUGAAGUAUAUGUGGCGAC
Molecule: ribosomal RNA, 725 nt
Filed under: uncultured bacterium
Lineage: Bacteria
Description: partial 23S ribosomal RNA
Rfam family: Bacterial large subunit ribosomal RNA
Source: RNAcentral